GGCCGCCACAAAGGUCCUUUGGGCCUCACUGACAGUCGACCUCCUAUGGCAGCCAACCAUUCUCCGAGUCUCUCCUGGACUUCUUCCAACCACGGACGACCCUACUUCAAACUUCUUCCGGGCUUCGUCAGCAUCCGAGCUUCUCCGACAACGAGAUUUCUACAGUAACCAGAUUCCUUCCAAGUUUCUACGACGGUCGACCGUCUUUCGGAUCCCGAUCGAGCUCCUGCGAGAGCCGAACUUCUACUACGAACGGUCUACUCCGAACUCCUACAGCGGGUUGUCUAUCCC
RNAcentral lists this long non-coding RNA (291 nucleotides) under Elaeis guineensis (African oil palm). RNAcentral's name for it is "long non-coding RNA (EGUI_LNC076041)". Lineage: Eukaryota; Viridiplantae; Streptophyta; Magnoliopsida; Arecales; Arecaceae. The record is from RNAcentral.